GACGAACGCUGGCGGCGUGCUUAACACAUGCAAGUCGAACGGAAAGGCCCUGCUUUUGUGGGGUGCUCGAGUGGCGAACGGGUGAGUAACACGUGAGUAACCUGCCCUUGACUUUGGGAUAACUUCAGGAAACUGGGGCUAAUACCGGAUAGGAGCUCCUGCUGCAUGGUGGGGGUUGGAAAGUUUCGGCGGUUGGGGAUGGACUCGCGGCUUAUCAGCUUGUUGGUGGGGUAGUGGCUUACCAAGGCUUUGACGGGUAGCCGGCCUGAGAGGGUGACCGGCCACAUUGGGACUGAGAUACGGCCCAGACUCCUACGGGAGGCAGCAGUGGGGAAUAUUGCACAAUGGGCGGAAGCCUGAUGCAGAAACGCCGCGUGCGGGAUGACGGCCUUCGGGGUGUAAACCGAUUUCGCCUGUGACGAAGCGUGAGUGACGGUAAUGGGUAAAGAAGCACCGGCUAACUACGUG
This 468-nucleotide ribosomal RNA is filed under the name uncultured bacterium. RNAcentral describes it as "partial 16S ribosomal RNA". It matches the Rfam family "Bacterial small subunit ribosomal RNA", at positions 28 to 507 of the family's 1533-position model. The record is from RNAcentral.